CUCUUGCUUAAAAUAGUUGCUGCUACACAGAACCAAAUCCUGAAACCUUUAUUCAUUAUUUAUUAUGCUAAAAGUUCAUUUAUUUCUGAAAGAUUUCUGCAUGAAGUUUUGGUGGUAGCUGAAAGUUAUGGAUAUGUUCUAGCAUCAUUAUUUAAUAUUAGAUUCUCUUGUUGGAUGUCUGGCCUGGAUUGAUCCUACCUGGCUGCAGAAAACCAGCUAAUCCUGAAGUCUUGAGGAGAAAGUGACAAAAAGUCAUCCUUUGCUGCACAGAUGGUUCAUGACAAACACAGCAGGAGCAACAGCAAAGCAUUAAUUUGUUCAGUUCAAGAGAUCUGCUAGUCUGCUGACAGUGUCACAAGAAAUAUAGCUGAACAGAUUUUGGGGACUACAUUUAAUCAUUACAUAGUCAUGAAAUACAUGGAUCCUUGGAGUGGUAGAUACACGUGUGGAAUAACUA
Pezoporus occidentalis (night parrot) is the source of this 457-nucleotide long non-coding RNA. RefSeq lists it as uncharacterized. The record is from RefSeq and is a predicted model, not a curated record. Lineage: Eukaryota; Metazoa; Chordata; Aves; Psittaciformes; Psittacidae. The transcript has 3 exons.